UACGUAGGGUGCAAGCGUUAAUCGGAAUUACUGGGCGUAAAGCGUGCGCAGGCGGUUUUGUAAGUCAGAUGUGAAAUCCCCGGGCUUAACCUGGGAACUGUCGUUUGAAACUACAAGGCUAGAGUGUGGCAGAGGGGGGUGGAAUUCCACGUGUAGCAGUGAAAUGCGUAGAGAUGUGGAGGAACACCGAUGGCGAAGGCAGCCCCCUGGGUUAACACUGACGCUCAGGCACGAAAGCGUGGGGAGCAAACAGG
This 254-nucleotide ribosomal RNA is filed under the name uncultured bacterium. RNAcentral's name for it is "partial 16S ribosomal RNA". It matches the Rfam family "Bacterial small subunit ribosomal RNA", at positions 524 to 776 of the family's 1533-position model. The record is from RNAcentral.